This 745-nucleotide ribosomal RNA is filed under the name Kimboraga sp. WAM:S49264a. RNAcentral's name for it is "partial 16S ribosomal RNA". The record is from RNAcentral. Lineage: Eukaryota; Metazoa; Mollusca; Gastropoda; Stylommatophora; Camaenidae.
CACGAAACAAGUUGAGCUAACUUACUGCGUUUUUUAGAAUCUGGUAUGUAGCAUAAUAUAAGUCGACCAUAAGUUAGGAGUGAUAGGCUAAUCAUAUCUUGUGAUAUCUUGAUUCCCUAGACUUGCAUUAGUGCAAUUACAUUUAAGGAGUGAUCAGGCUUUUUAAUAUUACUAAUACACAUCGUGUUAUUAUUCUAUGGCUUAAUCGUUAGGGAUAAUAGUAUCAGAAUAUUUUUAUGUAUAAAUUGUAUUUAGUAUAGGGGAACUUCUAAACAACCAAGUGAUUUUUAUAAUGUUAAUAUAAGUAGUUUAUAGAAAUUGUAAAUGAACUCGGCAAUAUUUCUUUCACCUGUUUACCAAAAACAUCGCCAUUCGAAACUAUUGAUGGUCUUUUCUGCUCAAUGAUUUUUAAAUAGCCGCAGUACCCUGACUGUGCAAAGGUAGCGUAAUCAUUUGACUUAUAAUUGAAGUCCUGUAUGAACGAAGGGAUGGGGGAAAGCUUUAUCUACGGUUUUAACUGAACUUACUCAAUAAGUGAAAAUGCUUAUGAAUAAAUAAUAGACGAGAAGACCCUAGAAAUUUUGAUGAAAUGCGAUAGACAAUUUUUGUUGGGGCAACAUAGUAGCAAUUAACCUGCAUUAUAAAACACGAAACAUGGUAGUUAGGUUAAAUUACUCUAGGGAUAACAGCGUAAUAAUUAAUUGUUUGCGACCUCGAUGUUGGACUAGGAAGCGAUUGCUUAGAA